UUGCCUUAAACUAAUGAGUAAGGAAAACAAAGCGAUCGGUGAGAGCCGGUCGUGCGCUAACUCAAUAAAAUUUGUUGCGCAAGAAUUUAUGGAGGGGUUAUAGGCUGGCCGAGUUGUUGACGCUGCUUACUUUUGCAGAACUCUCUCGUGCGGGCCUCCC
Non-coding RNA from Thalictrum thalictroides, 160 nucleotides. Lineage: Eukaryota; Viridiplantae; Streptophyta; Magnoliopsida; Ranunculales; Ranunculaceae. The record is from the annotation of a GenBank genome assembly.